ACGGAAGGCAGCAGUGGGGAAUAUUGCACAAUGGGGGAAACCCUGAUGCAGCAACGCCGCGUGAAGGAAGACGGUCUUCGGAUUGUAAACUUCUGUUCUUAGUGAAGAUAAUGACGGUAGCUAAGGAGCAAGCCACGGCUAACUACGUGCCAGCAGCCGCGGUAAUACGUAGGUUGCAAGCGUUGUCCGGAUUUACUGGGUGUAAAGGGCGUGUAGGCGGAGCUGCAAGUCAGAUGUGAAAUCCCGGGGCUUAACCCCGGAACUGCAUUUGAAACUGUAGCCCUUGAGUAUCGGAGAGGCAAGCGGAAUUCCUAGUGUAGCGGUGAAAUGCGUAGAUAUUAGGAGGAACACCAGUGGCGAAGGCGGCUUGCUGGACGACAACUGACGCUGAGGCGCGAAAGCGUGGGGAGCAAACAGGAUUAGAUACCCUGGUA
This 434-nucleotide ribosomal RNA is filed under the name uncultured Oscillibacter sp. RNAcentral describes it as "bacterial SSU rRNA". It matches the Rfam family "Bacterial small subunit ribosomal RNA", at positions 341 to 792 of the family's 1533-position model. The record is from RNAcentral. Lineage: Bacteria; Bacillati; Bacillota; Clostridia; Eubacteriales; Oscillospiraceae.